GAUUAUUUUCAGUCAUCUAUUUGAAAAGGUGAAUUUUUCCCGAAAUAUUAUUUAAUGAUAUCAUAAAACUAAUAAAAAAAAAUAAACAAAAAGGCAUGAGAAUUUCAUCACAAAAAUUAAAUAUAACGAUCCAAUAAUAUUUCAGGUAAGAUUCCCCUCUUCCAAAAGAAAAAGAACAUAGUACAGAGGACUGCCAUAACAACACAUUUCUUUGAAUCCUGUGAUUUACAAAAAUUGAAAAAAAGAUCCAAUAUUUCAGGUAAGAUUCCCCUUUUCAAAUAGAAAAAGAAAUACAACAGUAGACUGCUAAUAACAACACAUUUCUUUGAACUCUGAUUGUUUUCAGUCAUCUAUUUGAAAAGGUGAAUUUUUUCCCGAAAUAUUAUUUAAUGAUAUCAUAAAACUAUAAAAAAAUAAACAAAAACUCAUGAGAAUUUCAUUAUAAAAAUUAAAUAUAACGAUCCAAUAAUAUUUCAGGUAAGAUUCCCCUCUUCCAAAAGAAAA
Molecule: long non-coding RNA, 504 nt
Organism: Octopus sinensis (East Asian common octopus)
Lineage: Eukaryota; Metazoa; Mollusca; Cephalopoda; Octopoda; Octopodidae
Exons: 2
Source: RefSeq, a predicted model, not a curated record